UCGUUCUUUUUUAGCAUGGCUCCUUUGUAUCAGCAGCAUCGGUGUUUAUAAUAUUAUAAGGUGGAAUUAAUCCAGGCGUUGUUAAUGCAUAUCUUGUGAUAUAUGGAUUGUGAAUGUAAUGUAACACAUUGAUAGUUCACAUUUUCCAGACAGCAUUUACUUUUCUGGUUUACCCUUGUUUGGUUUUGGCUUACUUGUAUACUGGGUCAUGGUUUGGUUACUUCUAAAUGACCUACUGAAAACAUGAUAUCCUGGUAGUUUUAUUGCAGGCGUGGAGACCAUGUUUGCUGAUUUGGGACAUUUUUCAGCUUGUUCAAUUAAGACAGCAUUUACUUUUCUGGUUUACCCUUGUUUGGUUUUGGCUUAUAUGGGUGAGGCUGCCUUCCUGUCUUGUCAUAAUGAAGAUAUUCAGAGGAGCUUCUACAAAGCUAUUCCAGAACCAGUAUUCUGGCCGGUUUUCAUAGUGGCUACAUUUACGGCG
This is a long non-coding RNA of Spinacia oleracea (spinach), 481 nucleotides long. RefSeq lists it as uncharacterized. The transcript has 3 exons. NCBI's taxonomy places the organism in Eukaryota, Viridiplantae, Streptophyta, Magnoliopsida, Caryophyllales, Amaranthaceae. The record is from RefSeq and is a predicted model, not a curated record.